UUUAAGCUGGUGGUAAAUUUAAGGCUAAAUAUUAUCAGGCUUCAUUUAAGGCUAAAUAUGACCACGAGACCGAUAGCGAACAAGUACCGUGAGGAAAAGUUUAAAAGAACUUUGAAGAGAGAGUUCAAAAGUGCGUGAAACCGUUCAGGGGUUAACCUGAGAAACCCAAAAUAUCGAAUAGGGAGAUUCACCGUCAGCCGCCUUGGCUUCCGUGCGGCGCGCGAUGACGAGGGACCUCGGUCUUGCGUCACGCCGUCGCUGUGGCAUAUCCGAGGUGGUCGUCGUACACUUCUCCCCUAGUAGGACGUUACGACCCGUUGGUCGUCGGCCCACAGCCCGGUUAGGCGUCUAUCGAGUCGCGUUAACGCGCGCACUCGUCAGACCACCAGUCGCCCUGCCAGCUGCCCGGCGGUAUAGAACGAUAAAUAAAAUCUGGUAUCGAGCCGCACAAAGUGCGUUCCUGGGUCGUUGGCAGGCUUGCCUUGCUUGGAUUUACGGACCAACUGCUGUUGCCGGGUACUUGGCGCGGCCGUUAGUCGACGAUGUCCGUCGGUGACGCUACUGCUUUGGGUACAUUCAGGA
Molecule: ribosomal RNA, 582 nt
Filed under: Coccophagus rusti
Lineage: Eukaryota; Metazoa; Arthropoda; Insecta; Hymenoptera; Aphelinidae
Description: eukaryotic LSU rRNA
Rfam family: Eukaryotic large subunit ribosomal RNA
Source: RNAcentral